This 478-nucleotide ribosomal RNA is filed under the name uncultured bacterium. Its description in RNAcentral is "partial 16S ribosomal RNA". It matches the Rfam family "Bacterial small subunit ribosomal RNA", at positions 28 to 523 of the family's 1533-position model. The record is from RNAcentral.
GACGAACGCUGGCGGCGUGCUUAACACAUGCAAGUCGAACGGUAAGGCCCUUCGGGGUACACGAGUGGCGAACGGGUGAGUAACACGUGGGUGAUCUGCCCUGCACUUCGGGAUAAGCCUGGGAAACUGGGUCUAAUACCGGAUAGGACCACUGCCUGCAUGGGUGGUGGUGGAAAGCUUUUGCGGUGUGGGAUGGGCCCGCGGCCUAUCAGCUUGUUGGUGGGGGGAUGGCCUACCAAGGCGACGACGGGUAGCCGGCCGGAGAGGGUGACCGGCCACAGUGGGACUGAGAUACGGCCCAGACUCCUACGGGAGGCAGCAGUGGGGAAUAUUGCACAAGGGGCGCAAGCCUGAUGCAGCGACGCCGCGUGAGGGAUGACGGCCUUCGGGUUGUAAACCUCUUUCAGCACCGACGAAGCGCAAGUGGCGGUAGGUGCAGAAGAAGGACCGGCCAACUACGUGCCAGCAGCCGCCGUAA